UUUUUGUAAUCCAUGAUUGAAUUUUUUGUUUUUUUUGUUUGUUUUUUUUUGUAAUCCAUGAUCGAAUUUUAUGUAAUCCAUGAUCGAAUUUUAUGUAAUCCAUGAUUGAAUUUUUUGAAAAUUUGUGAUUUUUUUUUUUUAAUCCAUGAUUGAAUUUUUUUUUGUAAUCCAUGAUAGAAUUUUUUGAAAAUUUGUGAUUUUUUUUUUAAUCCAUGAUCGAUUUUUUUGAAAAUUUGUUAUUUUUUUUUUAAUCCAUAUUAUUCAAAAAGAAAAUGAGAGAGAUGAUGAUUCUGAGGCCACCCUAUCCCAGCCAUAUUAUUCACAUAUCGAGUCCCAACAGCAACAGUGUAG
RNAcentral lists this long non-coding RNA (351 nucleotides) under Amborella trichopoda. RNAcentral describes it as "long non-coding RNA (ATRI_LNC002176)". Lineage: Eukaryota; Viridiplantae; Streptophyta; Magnoliopsida; Amborellales; Amborellaceae. The record is from RNAcentral.